UACGUAGGUGGCAAGCGUUAUCCGGAAUUAUUGGGCGUAAAGCGCGCGUAGGCGGUUUUUUAAGUCUGAUGUGAAAGCCCACGGCUCAACCGUGGAGGGUCAUUGGAAACUGGAAAACUUGAGUGCAGAAGAGGAAAGUGGAAUUCCAUGUGUAGCGGUGAAAUGCGCAGAGAUAUGGAGGAACACCAGUGGCGAAGGCGACUUUCUGGUCUGUAACUGACGCUGAUGUGCGAAAGCGUGGGGACCAAACAGGAUUAGAUACCCUGGUAGUCAAGGGCG
RNAcentral lists this ribosomal RNA (279 nucleotides) under uncultured Staphylococcus sp. RNAcentral describes it as "partial 16S ribosomal RNA". It matches the Rfam family "Bacterial small subunit ribosomal RNA", at positions 524 to 802 of the family's 1533-position model. The record is from RNAcentral. Lineage: Bacteria; Bacillati; Bacillota; Bacilli; Caryophanales; Staphylococcaceae.